GACGAGCGCUGGCGGCGUGCUUAACACAUGCAAGUCGAACGGGCCUUGUCCCCUUUUUUUUUGGGGGUGGGGUUAGUGGCGAACGGGUGAGUAACACGUGAGUAACCUGCCCCUCACUUCUGGAUAACCGCUUGAAAGGGUGGCUAAUACGGGGUGUUCUGGCCUGCUCGCAUGGGUGGGUUUGGAAAGAUUCGACCGGUCUUGGUGGUUUUGGUGGGGGAUGGGCUCGCGGCCUAUCAGCGUGUUGGUGGGGGGAGGGCCUUCCAAGGCUUUUGCGGGGCGCCCGCAUGAGGGGGUUGGCCGUCACACUGGGGCUGAGACCCGCCCCAGACUCACACGGGAGGCAGCAGUGGGGAAUAUUGCACAAUGGGCGCAAGCCUGAUGCAGCGACGCCGCGUGAGGGAUGGAGGCCUUCGGGUUGUGAACCUCUUUCGCCAGUGAAGAAGGUCCUGCUCUUUGUGGUGGGGUUGACGGUAGCUGGGUUAAUGAAGCGCCGGCUAACUACGUG
This 508-nucleotide ribosomal RNA is filed under the name uncultured bacterium. Its description in RNAcentral is "partial 16S ribosomal RNA". It matches the Rfam family "Bacterial small subunit ribosomal RNA", at positions 28 to 507 of the family's 1533-position model. The record is from RNAcentral.